This is a long non-coding RNA of Acanthopagrus latus (yellowfin seabream), 3503 nucleotides long. RefSeq lists it as uncharacterized. NCBI's taxonomy places the organism in Eukaryota, Metazoa, Chordata, Actinopteri, Spariformes, Sparidae. The transcript is spliced from 4 exons. The record is from RefSeq and is a predicted model, not a curated record.
UUCUUGUUUGUUACUUGGUCUGAUUUUGUUUGCUACUUUGCCUUUGCUCUUUUUUUUGUCUGCCAUUUGUUUUUGUAUUCAGCUUUUUAAUAAAGCUCGCCCUUUGUUUGUUCCCUUAUCUUUGCCUCCUGAGUUCACUGCGUUGGGUCCACCAUUCCCUUCCAUAGUUUUCCCUUUAUACCCCAACUUGACAAUAUCUUCAGUUGCAGAGCAGUUAAAUCGUGAACUUGCUUCUGUAAUAUAUUCAUUGUGCCAGAUGAAAGAGGCACACUCCAAACAAACUGUGAGGGUGAUGAUUGAUCUGCAUAAUGACAAGAUCAACAGGGGUUUUAAGUCAGAAAUGGAGGUGUUGUGCAGUACACAGUUGUGUAUUGGCCUGCAUGAGAUGCUGGGACUCCAGUCUGCUGGAGAAGGUCUUCAGUCUUCCCCUGUAGGUUCCCAACCUGGAAAGCUUUGUGCAAUCCUCAUUUGUAGCACAAUCAUAUGCUAUUGGGGAUAAAGACAAGGCAAAAUUGAAGGAACUCUUCACUGGGUCUGGAUGAAAAUCAACCCCUGGCUAAUUGCCUAAGAAGAUUCCCUUUGUCGAUAAAGGACCUUCAAAGUGUUUGCCCACCAGAGUUCUUGGGACAAUCUUCACUGAGUAUGCCAUGGCUGACUGACAAUGUAAGAGAAGAUAAAUAAUACUGGUGAAAUUAAAUGAAAUGUUAUGACAUUUACAGCGGCGUUUGUAUUUCUUAUUUCUUUAUUACAAAUUCAGAUGUGUAUUAUAACAAGUAUAGUGAAUUCCAGGCUGUAAACUAUCGAGCAGCACAGCUGGCUCAAGAACACAUGGUAAUAGAGUUUAAUUUCCUCCUUCCCUGUAUGAUUUUUAAUGUCUGAGCAAGGUUCACUAAAAUACAUACAAUGUAUUCUGUUUUAGUGUGGUUCUUUGGGUCAGUAUGACUACAUUUUGUGGCACCACAAAUGGCAAAACAGUGAAGCUGUCAGUGAUGUCCUUGUGAAGCGCAUUCCUGUAGGCCCUUUUUUGUUUUUUAUUUGCAUAAUACAAGAAAUAUUGUACAAAUUAACAAAACACAUCUGACAUUAACAUGGAAUGUGUUGUCCCACCUGAUGUUAUUGUCAUGCUAUAGGUUGCAGACAAGGAGAACAGUGGGUCAUUCAAAUCCAGAGACAGGGAAUCGCUUCAUUCUUUGGAAAUGUCUUCAGCCUGGUGGCCUCCAAGGUUGGAGUGUCAAAUAUCCUUCACAGUGGAAGCAGCAGGACUCAGUAAACUGUGGGGUUUUCGUGUGUUCUGUGAGUAGCCAAUUCUGUGAGCUUCUUUUCUCUCUGUACAGUGCAUGUGUGGUCUGUGGGUUCAUGAAUGUCAUUUGUUUUGUUACCAAAUAGGCAGCUGAAAAUAAAGUUACUAAUCUGGAGGUUACUGUGGAGGCCCUAAUCCUGAACCAGUGUAGGACUCUGCAUCUGCACCAUGCCACCCAGAUGAUCAAAAACCUGAAUGCUGAGGUUAGACUAAGUGAUGUCUCAAUAUAACAAAAUCUAUACUGGUAAUAACAGAAAUGGUUACAGCAAAUGUCUUUGUUAUACAAGACUUCCCACCGACAAAGGAAGACCUGUUAAAGGUGGAAGAAAAGGAAGCAAAGCUGCAGGAAGCAGAUGCAAAAGAGAAAAGCUCCAGCAGCCAUUGCCUGGCCUGGAAAAUAAAAUAAUGCCUGUUCCAGCGGGCAACUGGUACAACCAGGUGUGUGAAAAAAACAUGACAACUCAUCUGUAGUUUAUUUGUAGGAAUUUACACAUAGCACAGUUGACAAGGUUAUUUAUUGUUGAAGUCCCUGUAAAGCAAUUUCAGCCAUUUUCUUCUAAACACAUUAAAAAGGUCGUAAAUGUAUUUCUUUAAAACAUGUAAAAAGCGUUCAGCCAUUUAGAAUUUAAUUUUGGAGCUAGGCUCACAAACUGUGUUUCAGGAUUUCUGUGUUCAGGAUUUAAUGGGCGGGUCAGAAAAUCAUGCAAAUCAUGGCCACGUUACAUAACACAUCCAUGAUUUGCAUAAAUCCGACGCUGCUGCGCAAGCCCUAUAAAUACACUCAGCGCAUUAGAUUAGGCGGCUUUUCUGCUGGCUGUCGAGUCUUGGAUAGCAUCUCUUAGAAUAGUUUGCAACUAGCUAACCAGUCAACUAUCUCCUCCACAUCGCUCCGGCAUCUUUCCUGGAUGUCACAGUGUGCAGAGUAACAACACCGUAAGCUUAUUUAAGUUUCCCUAAGGAUGACAACGUAAGGAAACAGUGGAUCUAUUUUGUCAAAAGGAGCUACUGUGGAGAGUUAAAAACCACCACCAACACCGGUCUCUGCAGUGUCCACUUAGUUAUAUAUAGUUAACUACAGCGACUGUCACCAGGUAAAGUCUGGAUAUCUGAAGAGUCUGUUGACGCUGGUCAGUGGGGCCGAACCGACCCUCUCCGUCUCGGCUUGCAUCCUCCCGUCCCGCCAGUAGCGCAUGCUCUCAUCUACACCGCCGGCAUUAUGUGCCCGCCUGCGACCGUCCCGCCGACAACAGGUGCUCUCAUCCCCGCCACCGGCCAGACUUUAGAUUCUCUGCGCUGACCCGAACCGUACCGCGGGCCGGCACUUGAUCAAGCAUGUGUGUGUGUGUGUGUGUGUGUGUGUGUGUGUGUGUGUUUUCUAACAACUUAAAAUAAUGACGGUACUUCCUGCUACAAAAGGCGCAUCUCGCUCCUCCCUCCAAGUAAUUUGUGCGGCUGCGUGGUUUUACACGUGAGUGUCCUCGUGCAGAAAACGUGACUUCUCGCGCACGUGACGUCACUCCCCGAGAUGCAAGAAGAAAAGCUAAAAUAAAUAUUUUUACUGAGGAAAAUGACAAAAAUAAGAGUAACGCACAGUGAUUUGAAUAAGUAAUUUUAAUCUGAUUAGUGGUUUGGAAAUAUUACCGCCUUAGAUCACUCCUCACUGACAAAAGUGGUCAGAUUAGAGUAACGCGUUACCGGCAUCACUGAUUGUGUAGUGUAAGUGCAACGUGGAGCUUGAGAACUACCGUUAUAACAGCCUAUGUAUUUAAAAAUGUCGGGUUUAAAUCGGGCUCAGGCUCAUAAUUACAGUUAAUGUGUCGGGCUGGCCGGCUGGGACACAACGUGCAGGGGCUGGGCUCGGCUGGGGUCGGGCUUGAUUUUUUUGGGCCAGAUCUAAGCUCUAAUUGCAAGUGUGUGUGUAUGUAUGUUAUAAAUGUUGUACAUUUUGGCAAUUAAAUGCAUUUUGCUGAAGGUGCAAAUUCUAAAAGUGAUUUUACACCAUGCAUUCUGUCAUGCCCAUGUAAUGUUAGCAAAUGUCUUUGCAUUUAAUCAUGACAUGAUUUGGCCUCAUGAAUAGCAGAAGUAUAAGGCUGAGAACAGUGACAUAGAAUUUGUCUUCAAAAUAAGAGCUUUACAUUGCACCCCAUUUAGAACUGGGUUCUUAGCGGGGGCUUUUAAUUUGAAAGUAGCGACCGUCCUUAGC